AAGUUUCCCGAUAGGGAUUUAUCGGCAAACGACCCUGUCCUCCCACCCCCACCCCACCCCACCCGACCCCACUCUACCCACCUCCUACUCCGACUGUGCGACGACGUCUCUUUUUCUUCUACGGCUCGAUAGCUGUUUUCGGGGUUUUUUACUCGAUUUCUCUCUGGGAGGUGGCGCUGUUCCUCUCGGAGAGAUAGGGAAACGAUUUUCGUUUGGGGGGUUCCAUUGUUCUUUUAUGCGAUUUGCGGGGGUUUUCGUCACGGUAUUCAAAUUGCGACCGUCUUGUAGAGGGGAUGCUUUUACAUUGCAACGUCGUGAUCCCGCUUUGAUUGACAUAAUGGGGUCGGUGUGAUAUAAAUGUAAAAAAUAAUCGCUUAUUUUUAGUUAGUUUUUCUCCCGACAGGUGGUUCUGACGCCAAUCCAUAAUUCAAGGCCGACGAACUUCAACGCGGCCUUGGAUUGGAUUCAAAAACAAAACAAAAACAAAACAAGACUGGCUGCUAAUCAAUCAACUGAACCAAGGCAAAUUUAAAGCAAAAUGUAGUCAAAUUUUAAAUAAUCUGGUACAAUAGCCGUACGGUUUUUUAUAUACCGAAAAGCAUUCAUUCAUCAUGGAGUCCAGGAUGAUUUAUGAUGUGAUGGUAGAACAAUGCUGGAUUACCACCCUAUAAUUCUUGAAACUACAUUAGUUUCCAAUGCCAGUGGAUCGGCAAGGCUGAGACUUGCAAACUCAUCAACAUCUGGAAAAUGAAAUUUGCAAAUUCCUACAAAGAUCCUAUGCUUCAGUCCUGAUGUAUCAACACUGGUGCAGAGUCUACGACAAGCCUUGGCCCUUGAAGCUAAAUUCCAACCAAAGCUUCAACUUCUGUCAACACUCAACAGCCAGCAAUAGAGGAGAAAGCGGUGAAAUUAUGUGUGCAAUGAGGGAUGGAGCUGCUCAUGUUCUUCGCUGCAUGAAAGUCUGGUAUGAUCUUCCUUAUGCAGUUCUUCUGGAUGCUCUCAACAUGAUGGACUGGUUCAUGAGCCGCAUGAAAGCACUCCUAAACACCUCUCAUGCAUAGCAAUCAGCUCCUUCCAUCUAGCAGCUUGCCAAUGGGUGGAGAGGAUUAAACAGAACAACAUUGAGGUAUCUUCCAUUCAGAGUCCAAUAUUGUUCCUGAACCUCAAUAUCUGGUAACGAUAUCUUAAUGUAAAUGUACCGACGGAGACAUCAACCGGAUGGAAAAAAUUGUCGAAGCCAAGAUAGCUUGUCUACCCCAAGAAGAACCGGUCACGACCUUAACAUUCCUCAACCUCUAUCACUCACUUCUCUCGACGACUUUACCUGCCGCUCUUCAGCAAGACCUUCUUAUUCUUUCAUGCAAGCAGGAGACCAUUUGCUGUGACGCAAAAUAAUGCUGCCUUUCCCUCAUCUCUUUUGACUUUCGUCCUACUGUUUGUCGAAAUAAAGUGUCACCAGCAGGCCAUCGAGGUUAUUAUCAGAGACGUUUUACUAGAACUUCAGCGACUUGUUCAGGUAAAAAAUGACUAGUUGAAGGAGUGUAUAAGAAUGGUCACUUCGGCAAUGGCACCUUACGAUGGCUAUGUCCAAAGCAAUCCGUCUCAUCGUCAACGACUUACCUGGAAGUUGUCCUUUUUCUACUAUUUAUUUGCCUUCUAAAC
Molecule: long non-coding RNA, 1662 nt
Filed under: Daphnia pulicaria
Lineage: Eukaryota; Metazoa; Arthropoda; Branchiopoda; Diplostraca; Daphniidae
Description: uncharacterized LOC124338108, transcript variant X4
Source: RNAcentral